RNAcentral lists this long non-coding RNA (1297 nucleotides) under Gallus gallus (chicken). RNAcentral's name for it is "lncRNA (ENSGALG00010015106.1)". Lineage: Eukaryota; Metazoa; Chordata; Aves; Galliformes; Phasianidae. The record is from RNAcentral.
CAUGAGGUAUGCGCUGCAAGGCUGGAUGCAGUCAGUUUACCACUGCUCUCAGGUGAGGGCUAAGGGCCUGGGCCCAAGCCUAGCCCAGCUCCCAGACCACAGGCAAAAGCUGCAGAGACCCCAGGAGUUAUUUUCAAGGAAUCCCCAUCGUGUAUUAAUGCUGGUCUUGAAGAGUGGCAGCUAAACUUUGGAGAGGGAGAUGGAAAGGCCUGCACAGGGAGUUGACCACCCUGGGGAGGAGCCUUCAUAACUGUCCUGCAGAAUGAGGUUACAGGCUGGUCCAUGUGUGGUUCUGGCUCUAAGACAGGCUGUGGCUGAGGCAGAGCUGUUGUGGGAGCACUAAGGGAUCACAUAGAAGUUGACCUCGAGCCAAUGAUUUUGUGCAAUUAAAUUGAGCGAAGUAAAGCAAGACAAUGAUUUACUGAACUAUAACUGACUGCCACAGAAGAGCUGUCUCAUGAAUUCUGCUUUUCCACUGCGAGGGAUCUAUGAAGGAUGUUGCAUACAUAUCUAAAUUCUGGGCAGUUAAUCCAUGUGAUUGCAGGAUUGGCCAACCUACCUUGCAAUCACUCCUUCAGUAUUUCUGCUUGUGUAUACUUGUGUUUUUCUACCGAUUAAGGCUUCCUGUUUCAAAAGACAGUGGGAAACAGUUGUAAAGAUAACCAGGGACUUUAACAGUCGUGCUAGAAUAAGAUUUUGGAACUGUUUUUGCAAUUUACUCAUCAUAAAAUGGCCGUAAGUAGUAUGUCUGAUUAAAUGAUCAAUAACUGCACAGUAACGGCUUCCCACUGGAUCCUUUCCAAUGUAGGUAUUUGAUGUUGUUUCCAGAAAGAUGCUCAUAAAGCAUAGGCAGGAAGAUACCUACCAGGAAAAUCUAUUAGAAUGUAAACUAUUCCAAGAGAAACUCCCCAGAUCUCUCUACUUUUUUUUGUGUUGCAAUAUUACUUGUAAAAUACAUUCUGCAAAAGCUGCUGCUUUGCUGCUUUGCUUAUUGCAAGCAUUCUUUUAAUUCUGCAGAUUAAAUACGCUGUUACGAAACAUGAGAAAUAUGAGAAAGUGCUUUGUUAUUAUACAAAUAUGAAUUGGAUCAGGAAAAAACAUUCCCCUGAGAAGCAUCACCUCCAAAAUGCAGGCGAAAAAAGACAAAACAACCCAACAACAACUCAAAAUGAGUGAUAAUUAACAGAGCUCUCUGAUGUGCUGUUCUUUAAAACUUAAAGAUGUACAGCCGUCGGAGACAGAAUAUCGAAUAUCAGUAGGCAGAGCAGCGGGAAACUUUUUCCACUGGAUGAAAGGG